Molecule: ribosomal RNA, 121 nt
Filed under: Bos indicus x Bos taurus (hybrid cattle)
Lineage: Eukaryota; Metazoa; Chordata; Mammalia; Artiodactyla; Bovidae
Source: RNAcentral
AGUCUCCGGCAUAUCAGCCUGAAGGCGCCCGAUCUCGUCUGAUCUCGGAAGCUAAGCAGGGUCGGGCCUGGUUAGUAUCUUGGAUGGGAGACCACCUGGGAAUCCCGGGUGCUCGAGGCUU